This 777-nucleotide ribosomal RNA is filed under the name uncultured Neocallimastigales. Its description in RNAcentral is "partial large subunit ribosomal RNA". It matches the Rfam family "Eukaryotic large subunit ribosomal RNA", at positions 24 to 631 of the family's 3401-position model. Lineage: Eukaryota; Fungi; Neocallimastigomycota; Neocallimastigomycetes; Neocallimastigales. The record is from RNAcentral.
UAUGUGAUCGUCUCUCGCAUAUCAAUAAGCGGAGGAAAAGAAACUAACAAGGAUUCCCCUAGUAACGGCGAGUGAAGCGGGAAGAGCUCAAAUUUGAAAUCUUAAAGGGUUUCCCUUUACGAAUUGUAGUUUAAAGAAGUGUUUUCUGUUGAGGUUUUGGUAAAAGUUCUUUGGAAUAGGACAUCAUAGAGGGUGAGAAUCCCGUAUUUGACCUUUACUUUCAACUUUGUGAUACACUUUCAAAGAGUCGGAUUGUUUGGGAAUGCAGUCCAAAAUGGGUGGUAAAUUUCAUCUAAAGCUAAAUAUUGGCGAAGAGACCGAUAGCGAACAAGUACCGUGAGGGAAAGAUGAAAAGAACUUUGAAAAGAGAGUUAAACAGUACGUGAAAUUGUCAAAAGGGAAGCGUUUGACACCAGUGUUGUUUUUCUGAAAAUCAAUUAAAGAACUGUUUAUGCUAAGUUGUUUAGACUUUAUCAGCUAACUGUUUAGUUUUGAGCUUUUCUUUAAUGCACUUUUCAGUUAACAAGUCAACAUCAAUUUCUUUUGCUGCUAAAAAAGCUUGAGGAAGGUGGCUUGAGAUUCGUCUUAAGUGUUUAUAGCCUCUUGCCUAUGCAGUCGGAGAGAUUGAGGUCUGCAGCGUAGAUCCUUCGGGGCUAAAUGCAUUUGUGCUAAGUUAUAGCAUUUUAUAGACAACUUGCUGACUAUGAUUUGUCUUAGUAGCUUACUCGCUUAUGUUAUUUUACCUACGCUUAGGAUGUUGAUCUACAGAGCGAGAGU